CACGUAGGGGGCAAGCGUUGUUCGGAAUUACUGGGCGUAAAGGGCAUGUAGGCGGCCUUGUAAGCUUGGCGUGAAAGUCCACGGCUUAACCGUGGGAUUGCGUUGAGAACUGCGAGGCUUGAGUGACGGAGAGGGAGCUAGAAUUCCUGGUGUAGGGGUGGAAUCUGUAGAGAUCAGGAAGAAUACCAAUGGCGAAGGCAAGCUCCUGGCCGAUGACUGACGCUGAGGUGCGAAAGUGUGGGGAUCAAACAGG
RNAcentral lists this ribosomal RNA (253 nucleotides) under uncultured bacterium. RNAcentral describes it as "partial 16S ribosomal RNA". It matches the Rfam family "Bacterial small subunit ribosomal RNA", at positions 524 to 776 of the family's 1533-position model. The record is from RNAcentral.